This 664-nucleotide ribosomal RNA is filed under the name uncultured Serratia sp. RNAcentral's name for it is "bacterial SSU rRNA". It matches the Rfam family "Bacterial small subunit ribosomal RNA", at positions 852 to 1516 of the family's 1533-position model. The record is from RNAcentral. Lineage: Bacteria; Pseudomonadati; Pseudomonadota; Gammaproteobacteria; Enterobacterales; Yersiniaceae.
UUAACGCGUUAAGUCGACCGCCUGGGGAGUACGGCCGCAAGGUUAAAACUCAAAUGAAUUGACGGGGGCCCGCACAAGCGGUGGAGCAUGUGGUUUAAUUCGAUGCAACGCGAAGACCCUUACCUACUCUUGACAUCCAGAGAACUUUCCAGAGAUGGAUUGGUGCCUUCGGGAACUCUGAGACAGGUGCUGCAUGGCUGUCGUCAGCUCGUGUUGUGAAAUGUUGGGUUAAGUCCCGCAACGAGCGCAACCCUUAUCCUUUGUUGCCAGCGGUUAGGCCGGGAACUCAAAGGAGACUGCCAGUGAUAAACUGGAGGAAGGUGGGGAUGACGUCAAGUCAUCAUGGCCCUUACGAGUAGGGCUACACACGUGCUACAAUGGCGCAUACAAAGAGAAGCGACCUCGCGAGAGCAAGCGGACCUCAUAAAGUGCGUCGUAGUCCGGAUUGGAGUCUGCAACUCGACUCCAUGAAGUCGGAAUCGCUAGUAAUCGUAGAUCAGAAUGCUACGGUGAAUACGUUCCCGGGCCUUGUACACACCGCCCGUCACACCAUGGGAGUGGGUCGCAAAAGAAGUAGGUAGCUUAACCUUCGGGAGGGCGCUUACCACUUUGUGAUUCAUGACUGGGGUGAAGUCGUAACAAGGUAACCAAGGGCGAAUUCCAG